This 365-nucleotide unclassified non-coding RNA is filed under the name soil metagenome. RNAcentral's name for it is "partial contains 5.8S ribosomal RNA, internal transcribed spacer 2, and large subunit ribosomal RNA". The stretch from base 1 to 120 matches the Rfam family "5.8S ribosomal RNA", at positions 35 to 154 of the family's 154-position model. The record is from RNAcentral.
GAUGAAGAACGUAGCGAAAUGCGAUAAGUAAUGUGAAUUGCAGAUUUCAGUGAAUCAUCGAAUCUUUGAACGCACAUUGCGCCCGCCAGCAUUCUGGCGGGCAUGCCUGUUCGAGCGUCAUUUCAACCCUCGCAGCCCAUCUGGGCAGCGGUGUUGGGGACCGGCACCACCGGCGAAGCCCUUAGGGGCCCAGCCGGCGCCGCCCCCGAAAUACAGUGGCGGUCUCGCUGCAGCCUCCCUUGCGUAGUAGCACACCUCGCACCGGAGCGCAGCGCGGCCACGCCGUAAAACCCCCGACUUUCUGAGUUUGACCUCGAAUCAGGUAGGAAUACCCGCUGAACUUAAGCAUAUCAAUAAGCGGAGGA